This 389-nucleotide ribosomal RNA is filed under the name uncultured microorganism. RNAcentral's name for it is "bacterial SSU rRNA". It matches the Rfam family "Archaeal small subunit ribosomal RNA", at positions 330 to 720 of the family's 1478-position model. The record is from RNAcentral.
GCGCAGCAGUCGAGAAAACUUCACAAUGUGCGAAAGCACGAUGAGGGAAUCCCAAGUGCUUGCACGUAAGUGUAAGCUGUUUCUCUGUCUAAAACGCAGAGAGAGUAAGGGCUGGGUAAGACGGGUGCCAGCCGCCGCGGUAAUACCUGCAGCUCGAGUGGUGACCGUUAUUAUUGGGCCUAAAACGUCCGUAGCCGGUUUAAUAAAUGCCUGGGUAAAUCGGACCGCUUAACGGUUCGAAUUCCGGGUAGACUGUUAAACUUGAGACCGGGAGAAGUUAGAGGUACUCCUGGGGUAGAGGUGAAAUUCUGUAAUCCUAGGGGGACCACCAGUGGCGAAGGCGUCUAACUAGAACGGGUCUGACGGUGAGGGACGAAGCCCUGGGGCGC